GUGAAGCGGCAAAAGCUCAAAUUUGAAAUCUAGCACUUUCAGUGUUCGAGUUGUAAUUUGAAGAAGGUAACUUUGGAAUUGGCUCUUGUCUAUGUUCCUUGGAACAGGACGUCACAGAGGGUGAGAAUCCCGUGCGAUGAGAUGUCCAAUUCUAUGUAAAGUGCUUUCGAAGAGUCGAGUUGUUUGGGAAUGCAGCUCUAAGUGGGUGGUAAAUUCCAUCUAAAGCUAAAUAUUGGCGAGAGACCGAUAGCGAACAAGUACAGUGAUGGAAAGAUGAAAAGAACUUUGAAAAGAGAGUGAAAAAGUACGUGAAAUUGUUGAAAGGGAAGGGCUUGAGAUCAGACUUGGUAUUUUGUGUUCCUUAUUCUUUUUGGAUUUGGUUCCUCACAGCUUACCGGGCCAGCAUCGGUUUGGAUGGUAGGAUAAUGACAUUGGAAUGUAGCUUUGCUUCGGUGAAGUGUUAUAGACUUUGUUGAUACUGCCUAUCUAGACCGAGGACUGCGUCUUUGACUAGGAUGCUGGCGUAAUGAUCUUAAGCCGCCCGUCUUGAAA
RNAcentral lists this ribosomal RNA (552 nucleotides) under Dujonia oleophila. RNAcentral's name for it is "[Candida] oleophila partial large subunit ribosomal RNA". It matches the Rfam family "Eukaryotic large subunit ribosomal RNA", at positions 93 to 659 of the family's 3401-position model. Lineage: Eukaryota; Fungi; Ascomycota; Pichiomycetes; Serinales; Debaryomycetaceae. The record is from RNAcentral.